Molecule: transfer RNA, 77 nt
Filed under: Candidatus Saccharimonadota bacterium
Lineage: Bacteria; Candidatus Saccharimonadota
Also listed under: 1 other name
Description: tRNA-His
Rfam family: tRNA
About the family: Transfer RNA (tRNA) molecules are approximately 80 nucleotides in length. Their secondary structure includes four short double-helical elements and three loops (D, anti-codon, and T loops).
Source: RNAcentral
GCGGAUGUAGCUCAGUUGGUUAGAGCGCCUGGUUGUGGUUCAGGAGGUCGUGGGUUCGAUUCCCAUCAUUCGCCCCA